UACAGAGGUGGCAAGCGUUGUUCGGAAUUACUGGGCGUAAAGGGCGCGUAGGCGGUCUUAUAAGUCUCGUGUGAAAUCCCUCGGCUUAACUGAGGAACUGCACGGGAUACUGCAAGACUUGAGAUCGGGAGAGGGAAGCGGAAUUCCGGGUGUAGCGGUGAAAUGCGUAGAUAUCCGGAGGAACACCGGUGGCGAAGGCGGCUUCCGGGACCGACACUGACGCUGAGGCGCGAAAGCUAGGGGAGCAAACGGG
Molecule: ribosomal RNA, 253 nt
Filed under: uncultured bacterium
Lineage: Bacteria
Description: partial 16S ribosomal RNA
Rfam family: Bacterial small subunit ribosomal RNA
Source: RNAcentral